AACGUCAAACGUGACAAGGUCCAAUUAAACAGUAAUUAAAACACAUUCCCAAGGUUCAAACAAUUUGAUUUUAGUGCCUUAUCAUAUAGCUCAAUUAUCGUUUAAGGCAUAAGUCCAAAGUCAUCCAUUUCAUAACUACUUAAACACAUUUAAAUAAUCAUAAAGGAAUGCAACAUAAACAUUUAGAUUUAGUGCAUAUGGGCAUAAUAAUAUUAUGAGUUUAAACAACUAACAAAAUUAAAAUCAAAUAUUUUAACUUUCUAGUUAGUAGGGGCCUAAAUGUAAAUAUGAAAAGUUAGGGGUAAAACCGUAAAUAUUUCAAAGUAAAUAUCAACUUCUCAAAGAUUACAAAAUAGCCCCACAAGUGGAUAAAUCCACUAGGGAGGCCGGCCACUUAAUGGGGGAUGGGAAGUCUCACCCAUCAAGCUUUAAUUCAAUGCAAAGAAGAAAAAUCCAAAUUUGCUUGUCACUUGGUUUUGGCAUUAAAUGGUUUUAAUGAAAAAGUGAUGGAAAUAUCCUAGACAAGUCUAGGGUUUUAAAAGGUUUUGAUAUGGUUAUGGAUGGUAAGAACAUCAUCCAAACCAUGAAACCAUGCAUGAAAACCAACUAAAAACAUUUUCACCCAAAACCAAACUAUGAACACCAAGAACAAAACCAUGAACACAAUUUCAAGAUUUGUACAUUCUUGGUGAUUUUUCAAACCCAAAAACAAAAGUGACAAGAACUUUUUUUUUUAGCUUUAAAAGGACGUGUGAGUGGUUUACAAUAAAACACAAACACAACCCAAAACCACCCCCAAAACCGUGCCUACCCUUAGCAACAAAACCCCAAAUUUUGUUCAUGACUUAUUCUUCAUUCAUGCAUACAAAACAACUUUUACAUGCAUAUCUUUUUCAACUCUUGAUUUAUAUUUUUUUCAACCAUUGAAAAACAAAAGACAAACAUACUUUUAAAUGAAGAAAUAAUAUGUCAUACUAGUCUUAAACUCAUUUUUCAUUCAUGCAUACAAAACACUUUUGCAUACAUAUCUUUCUCAACUUUUGACUAACAUUUUUCAACUAUUGAAAAACAAAAGAUAAACAUACUUUGAAUGAAACAAUAAUAUGUCAUACAUAACAUUAAUACCCAUAUGCAUAAAAUCCAAAAGGACACAUUAUACAUAAACCUUUGGCUCUGAUACCACUUGAAGGGAAAACUAUGAGAUUCUAGCAUGGGAUUUCAUAAUGACUAUCAUGCAUAUCCAAAUCAAAUUUAAUAUACGAAAGCAGCGGAAGCAUUUAUAACAAAUUAUCAAAGCUAUAGUCAUGCAAAUCCCCUUCAAGGUUCAUAGGUUUAUAUAUAAUGCAUCAAAACAAUUUAUAGAAUCAAGAACAAAGUGAAGGUUAGUCUUAUACCUCUUGAUCUAGACUUGAGACCAAGGAUGGACCACCUCCAAGCCCUUUGCUCCUUGAAAUCCUUGAGCCUAGCUUCCCUCCUUGCCUCCUCCACUUUGAAAGAAUGAGUGCUCCUAAGUUCUCUUCAAGCUUCCAAAGUAGGAAACCUCUAAAGAUCCUCACCCACUAGUGUAGUGAGAAGGAUGAAGGAAUAACCAAAAGGGUGAAAGAUUGUUAGCUAAAAACACCCCAAUGGUGGCCGGCCCUUUGAUGUGUUAGAGAGCUUUUUUCUUUUGCCUCUUUGUUGUUUAAACACUUCAAAAAACCCUAAUGAACUUUAUCACUAUAAAGUUCCUUAUAUAGACAAAAGAAAACCUAGUCAACACUUG
RNAcentral lists this long non-coding RNA (1762 nucleotides) under Malus domestica (apple). RNAcentral describes it as "long non-coding RNA (MDOM_LNC015431)". The record is from RNAcentral. Lineage: Eukaryota; Viridiplantae; Streptophyta; Magnoliopsida; Rosales; Rosaceae.